CAAUAGCGUAUAUUAAAGUUGUUGCGGUUAAAAAGCUCGUAGUUGGAUUUCUGCCGAGGACGUCCGGUCCGCCCUCUGGGUGUGUACAUGGUACGGCCUGGGCAUCUUCUUGGAAAACGUAUCUGCACUUGACUGUGUGGUGCGGUAUCCAGGACUUUUACUUUGAGGAAAUUAGAGUGUUUCAAGCAGGCCUACGCCUUGAAUACAUUAGCAUGGAAUAAUAAGAUAGGACCUCGGUUCUAUUUUGUUGGUUUCUAGAGCUGAGGUAAUGAUUAAUAGGGAUAGUUGGGGGCAUUCGUAUUUAACUGUCAGAGGUGAAAUUCUUGGAUUUGUUAAAGACGAACUACUGCGAAAGCAUUUGCCAAGGAUGUUUUCAUUG
RNAcentral lists this ribosomal RNA (379 nucleotides) under uncultured eukaryote. Its description in RNAcentral is "partial 18S ribosomal RNA". It matches the Rfam family "Eukaryotic small subunit ribosomal RNA", at positions 592 to 975 of the family's 1831-position model. The record is from RNAcentral.